This is a small nuclear RNA of Euleptes europaea (tarantolino), 103 nucleotides long. Lineage: Eukaryota; Metazoa; Chordata; Lepidosauria; Squamata; Sphaerodactylidae. The record is from RefSeq and is a predicted model, not a curated record.
GUUCCAAUUUUGCACAUAUACUAAAAUUGGAAUGAUACAGAGAAGAUUAGCAUGGCCCCUGCACAAGGAUGACAUAAAAUUAUUGCAAAUAAUCCACGCUGAC